Trichonephila clavipes is the source of this 83-nucleotide non-coding RNA. NCBI's taxonomy places the organism in Eukaryota, Metazoa, Arthropoda, Arachnida, Araneae, Nephilidae. The record is from the annotation of a GenBank genome assembly.
GUCAGGAUGGCCGAGCAGUUCAAGGCGCUGCGUUCAGGUCGCAACCACUUGUGUGGGCGUGGGUCUGAAUCCCACAUCUGACA